RNAcentral lists this long non-coding RNA (557 nucleotides) under Helianthus annuus (common sunflower). RNAcentral's name for it is "hypothetical non coding rna". Lineage: Eukaryota; Viridiplantae; Streptophyta; Magnoliopsida; Asterales; Asteraceae. The record is from RNAcentral.
GUUUCUAAUUUUCAAAAGCUCGCAGAAACCUUACUCUCAAUUCUCUCUCUCAUUGUUCUUCGUCUCUACACAAUGAAGUUUUGGAGGCCAAAAUCUAUUUCAUUGCAUCCAAAUUUUGAAACCCGCUCCUCAUCCUAAACUUUCAUUACCCUGCCUUAUUUACAUUUGCAAGGAGAGAACCAGAGUAAAAAAGUGAGUUAGAGAUAGGACCUGAUCGGGGGCUAGGGUUUCGAGGUUAUUUUCUUAAGCCACGACAAGGUAAUAUUAGGGAUGCGUGUGAAGGCUGACACAUGGGCGGCUAUAAGGUUUGGACCACCCGGUAGGUUCAGUUCCCAAAUGGUGCAUUUGCAAGCAAGUUACCACGAAGCUGCUUCAUCGUAAAGUUCCCAAAUUAUGGCACAGGUCAAAUCCUAUUUCAAACCGUAAUUUCAGUAAUUUUUCUCAGUUAUUAUUCAAUCCAUAACGGCGUAAUUUUUUUUUUUCAAUUUAUUGAAAUGUAUGCACUCGGUACGAUUAAGGUGAUAUGUGUUCGGGUUUCAGUGUUGUGGAUAACUUAA